RNAcentral lists this ribosomal RNA (531 nucleotides) under uncultured marine eukaryote. RNAcentral describes it as "SSU rRNA". It matches the Rfam family "Eukaryotic small subunit ribosomal RNA", at positions 613 to 1145 of the family's 1831-position model. The record is from RNAcentral.
UUGCGGUUAAAAAGCUCGUAGUUGGAUCUCGGCAAGUAGAGGGCGGUAUGCUUCGUAGCAUUACUGCCCUAUUACUUGUAGUUUUGCCAGAGGUUCCUGGGUGCUCUUAAUCGAGUGUCUAGGGAUGCUGGCAGGUUUACUUUGAAAAAAUUAGAGUGCUCAAAGCAGGCUAUUACGCUUGAAUAUUCGUGCAUGGAAUAAUAGAAUAGGAAGUUGUUUCUAUUUUGUUGGUUUUCGGAAAUCGACUUAAUGAUUAAUAGGGACAGUCGGGGGCAUUUGUAUUCAAACGACAGAGGUGAAAUUCUUGGACCGUUUGAAGACAAACUACUGCGAAAGCAUUUGCCAAGAAUGUUUUCAUUAAUCAAGAACGAAAGUUAGAGGUUCGAAGGCGAUUAGAUACCGCCCUAGUUCUAACCAUAAACGAUGCCAGCUAGCGAUCUGAGGACGUUUUUUUUGUAGACUCCUCAGGAAGCUUCCGGGAAACCAAAGCGUGUGGGUUCCGGGGGAAGUAUGGUUGCAAAGCUGAAACUU